This 503-nucleotide ribosomal RNA is filed under the name uncultured bacterium. Its description in RNAcentral is "partial 16S ribosomal RNA". It matches the Rfam family "Bacterial small subunit ribosomal RNA", at positions 28 to 523 of the family's 1533-position model. The record is from RNAcentral.
GACGAACGCUGGCGGCGUGCUUAACACAUGCAAGUGGAGCGACGAACCCUUCGGGGGGCAAAGCCGCGAACGGGUGAGUAACACGUGGGUAACCUGCCCCGAUAACUGGGACAACCCGGGGAAACCCGGGCUAAUACCGGAUGAUGUGCACACACUUAAGUGUGUUCACUAAAGGUAGCUUCGGCUUCCGCAUUGGGAGGGGCCCGCGGCCCAUUAGCUUGUUGGUGAGGUAACGGCUCACCAAGGCAACGAUGGGUAGCUGGUCUGAGAGGACGAUCAGCCACACUGGGACUGAGACACGGCCCAGACUCCUACGGGAGGCAGCAGUGGGGAAUCUUGCGCAAUGCGCGAAAGCGUGACGCAGCAACGCCGCGUGAGGGAAGACGGCCUUCGGGUUGUAAACCUCUUUCAGUAGGGACGAAGGCCGGCCGGUGAAUAGCCGUGUCGGCUGACGGUACCUUCAGAAGAAGCUCCGGCUAACUACGUGCCAGCCGCCGCCGUAA